This 1335-nucleotide ribosomal RNA is filed under the name Aleiodes cariniventris. RNAcentral's name for it is "SSU rRNA". It matches the Rfam family "Eukaryotic small subunit ribosomal RNA", at positions 41 to 1307 of the family's 1831-position model. Lineage: Eukaryota; Metazoa; Arthropoda; Insecta; Hymenoptera; Braconidae. The record is from RNAcentral.
AGAUUAAGCCAUGCAUGUCUCAGUACAUGCCAAAUUAAGGUGAAACCGCGAAUGGCUCAUUAAAUCAGUUAUGGUUCCUUAGAUCGUACUCACAUUUACUUGGAUAACUGUGGUAAUUCUAGAGCUAAUACAUGCAAAAUAGAGUUCCGACCAGAGAUGGAAGGAACGCUUUUAUUAGAUCAAAACCAAUCGGUGGUGGGUUCGCCUGUCCAUCGUUAACUUUGGUGACUCUGAAUAACUUUGUGCUGAUCGCAUGGUCUCGUACCGGCGACGAAUCUUUCAAAUGUCUGCCUUAUCAACUGUCGAUGGUAGGUUCUGCGCCUACCAUGGUUGUAACGGGUAACGGGGAAUCAGGGUUCGAUUCCGGAGAGGGAGCCUGAGAAACGGCUACCACAUCCAAGGAAGGCAGCAGGCGCGCAAAUUACCCACUCCCGGCACGGGGAGGUAGUGACGAAAAAUAACGAUACGGGACUCAUCCGAGGCCCCGUAAUCGGAAUGAGUACACUUUAAAUCCUUUAACGAGGAUCCAUUGGAGGGCAAGUCUGGUGCCAGCAGCCGCGGUAAUUCCAGCUCCAAUAGCGUAUAUUAAAGUUGUUGCGGUUAAAAAGCUCGUAGUUGAAUCUGUGUGCCACGCUGUCGGUUCACCGCUCGCGGUGUUUAACUGGCAUGAUUGUGGGACGUCCUACCGGUGGGCUUAGCUCCGUGUAACAGCGGAGCGGUCCAACUAAUAUCCCAUCGCGGUGCUCUUCAUCGAGUGUCGAGGUGGGCCGGUACGUUUACUUUGAACAAAUUAGAGUGCUUAAAGCAGGCUAUUUUCGCCUGAAUACUGUGUGCAUGGAAUAAUGGAAUAGGACCUCGGUUCUAUUUUGUUGGUUUUCGGAACCCCGAGGUAAUGAUUAAUAGGGACAGAUGGGGGCAUUCGUAUUGCGACGUUAGAGGUGAAAUUCUUGGAUCGUCGCAAGACGAACAGAAGCGAAAGCAUUUGCCAAAAAUGUUUUCAUUAAUCAAGAACGAAAGUUAGAGGUUCGAAGGCGAUCAGAUACCGCCCUAGUUCUAACCAUAAACGAUGCCAGCUAGCGAUCCGCCGAAGUUCCUCCGAUGACUCGGCGGGCAGCUUCCGGGAAACCAAAGCUUUUGGGUUCCGGGGGAAGUAUGGUUGCAAAGCUGAAACUUAAAGGAAUUGACGGAAGGGCACCACCAGGAGUGGAGCCUGCGGCUUAAUUUGACUCAACACGGGAAACCUCACCAGGCCCGGACACCGGAAGGAUUGACAGAUUGAUAGCUCUUUCUUGAUUCGGUGGGUGGUGGUGCAUGGCCGUUCUUAGUUGGUGGAGC